ACGGCUCAGUAACACGUGGACAAUCUAACCUAUGGAAGAGGAUAACCCCGGGAAACUGGGGAUAAUACUCUAUAGACUAUGGAUGCUGGAAUGCUUUGUAGUCGAAAGGUCCGCCGCCAUAGGAUGGGUCUGCGGCCGAUUAGGUUGUUGUUGGGGUAACGGCCCAACAAGCCUGUAAUCGGUACGGGUUGUGGGAGCAAGAGCCCGGAGAUGGAUUCUGAGACACGAAUCCAGGCCCUACGGGGCGCAGCAGGCGCGAAAACUUUACAAUGCGGGAAACCGUGAUAGGGGAACUCCGAGUGCCCGUUAAAUCGGGCUGUCCACCAGUUUAAAUAACUGGUGAAGAAAGGGCCGGGCAAGACCGGUGCCAGCCGCCGCGGUAAUACCGGCGGCUCGAGUGGUGGCCACUAUUACUGGGCUUAAAGCGUUCGUAGCUGGUUUGUUAAGUCUCUGGGGAAAUCUUCCGGCUUAACCGGAAGGCGUUUCAGGGAUACUGGCAGACUAGGGACCGGGAGAGGUGAGGGGUACUCCAGGGGUAGGAGUGAAAUCCUGUAAUCCUUGGGGGACCACCUGUGGCGAAGGCGCCUCACCAGAACGGCUCCGACAGUGAGGGACGAAAGCUGGGGGAGCAAACCGGAUUAGAUACCCGGGUAGUCCCAGCUGUAAACGAUGCGCGUUAGGUGUAUCGAUGACCACGAGUCAUCGAGGUGCCGAAGAGAAAUCGUGAAACGUGCCGCCUGGGAAGUACGGUCGCAAGGCUGAAACUUAAAGGAAUUGGCGGGGGAGCAC
RNAcentral lists this ribosomal RNA (789 nucleotides) under uncultured archaeon. Its description in RNAcentral is "bacterial SSU rRNA". It matches the Rfam family "Archaeal small subunit ribosomal RNA", at positions 85 to 879 of the family's 1478-position model. The record is from RNAcentral.